RNAcentral lists this ribosomal RNA (572 nucleotides) under uncultured Glomeromycotina. Its description in RNAcentral is "SSU rRNA". It matches the Rfam family "Eukaryotic small subunit ribosomal RNA", at positions 548 to 1114 of the family's 1831-position model. The record is from RNAcentral. Lineage: Eukaryota; Fungi; Glomeromycota.
UUGGAGGGCAAGUCUGGUGCCAGCAGCCGCGGUAAUUCCAGCUCCAAUAGCGUAUAUUAAAGUUGUUGCAGUUAAAAAGCUCGUAGUUGAAUUUCGGGAUUGGCGCAUCGGUCGUGCCUCACGGGGUAUGAACUGGUGCAGUCAAUUUCUCACCUUCUGGAGAACCGCGAUGUCCUUAAUUGGAUGCCGCGGGGAACCAGGACCUUUACUUUGAGAAAAUUAGAGUGUUUAAAGCAGGCAUUUUUGCUUGAAUACAUUAGCAUGGAAUAAUAAAAUAGGACGGCAUGGUUCUAUUUUGUUGGUUUCUAGGACCACCGUAAUGAUUAAUAGGGAUAGUUGGGGGCAUUAGUAUUCAAUUGUCAGAGGUGAAAUUCUUGGAUUUAUUGAAGACUAACUACUGCGAAAGCAUUUGCCAAGGAUGUUUUCAUUAAUCAAGAACGAAAGUUAGGGGAUCGAAGACGAUCAGAUACCGUCGUAGUCUUAACCAUAAACUAUGCCGACUAGGAAUCAGACGAUGUUAAUUUUUUAGUGACUCGUUUGGCACCUUACGGGAAACCAAAGUGUUUGGGUUC